AACGAACGCUGGCGGCAGGCUUAACACAUGCAAGUCGAACGCGAAAUCACCUUCGGGUGGUGGAGAGUGGCAGACGGGUGAGUAACGCGUGGGAAUCUACCUGAUGGUACGGAAUAACUCAGGGAAACUUGAGCUAAUACCGUAUGUGCCCGAGAGGGGAAAGAUUUAUCGCCAUCAGAUGAGCCCGCGUCGGAUUAGCUAGUUGGUGGGGUAAAAGCCCACCAAGGCGACGAUCCGUAGCUGGUCUGAGAGGAUGAUCAGCCACACUGGGACUGAGACACGGCCCAGACUCCUACGGGAGGCAGCAGUGGGGAAUAUUGGACAAUGGGCGAAAGCCUGAUCCAGCAAUGCCGCGUGAGUGAUGAAGGCCUUAGGGUUGUAAAGCUCUUUUACCUAGGGAUGAUAAUGACAGUACCUGGAGAAUAAGCUCCGGCUAACUCCGUGCCAGCAGCCGCGGUAAU
RNAcentral lists this ribosomal RNA (461 nucleotides) under uncultured bacterium. RNAcentral describes it as "bacterial SSU rRNA". It matches the Rfam family "Bacterial small subunit ribosomal RNA", at positions 29 to 524 of the family's 1533-position model. The record is from RNAcentral.